UACGAAGGGGGCUAGCGUUGCUCGGAAUCACUGGGCGUAAAGGGCGCGUAGGCGGAUCUUCAAGUCGGGGGUGAAAGCCCAGGGCUCAACCCUGGAAUUGCCUUCGAUACUGAAGAUCUCGAGACCGGAAGAGGUAAGUGGAACUGCGAGUGUAGAGGUGAAAUUCGUAGAUAUUCGCAAGAACACCAGUGGCGAAGGCGGCUUACUGGUCCGGUUCUGACGCUGAGGCGCGAAAGCGUGGGGAGCAAACAGG
Molecule: ribosomal RNA, 253 nt
Filed under: uncultured bacterium
Lineage: Bacteria
Description: partial 16S ribosomal RNA
Rfam family: Bacterial small subunit ribosomal RNA
Source: RNAcentral